RNAcentral lists this ribosomal RNA (253 nucleotides) under uncultured bacterium. RNAcentral describes it as "partial 16S ribosomal RNA". It matches the Rfam family "Bacterial small subunit ribosomal RNA", at positions 524 to 776 of the family's 1533-position model. The record is from RNAcentral.
UACAGAGGUCCCGAGCGUUGUUCGGAUUCACUGGGCGUAAAGGGUGCGUAGGUGGUCAAGUAAGUCUGUCGUGAAAUACUGGAGCCCAACUCCGGAACGGCGACGGAAACUACUCGACUAGAGGAUUGGAGGGGGGACUGGAAUUCUCGGUGUAGCAGUGAAAUGCGUAGAUAUCGAGAGGAACACCAGUGGCGAAGGCGAGUCCCUGGACAAUUCCUGACGCUGAGGCACGAAAGCUAGGGGAGCAAACAGG